GAUGAACGCUGGCGGCGUGCCUAAUACAUGCAAGUCGAGCGAACGGACGAGAAGCUUGCUUCUCUGAUGUUAGCGGCGGACGGGUGAGUAACACGUGGAUAACCUACCUAUAAGACUGGGAUAACUUCGGGAAACCGGAGCUAAUACCGGAUAAUAUUUUGAACCGCAUGGUUCAAAAGUGAAAGACGGUGUUGCUGUCACUUAUAGAUGGAUCCGCGCUGCAUUAGCUAGUUGGUAAGGUAACGGCUUACCAAGGCAACGAUGCAUAGCCGACCUGAGAGGGUGAUCGGCCACACUGGAACGGAGACACGGUCCAGACUCCUACGGGAGGCAGCAGUAGGGAAUCUUCCGCAAUGGGCGAAAGCCUGACGGAGCAACGCCGCGUGAGUGAUGAAGGUCUUCGGAUCGUAAAACUCUGUUAUUAGGGAAGAACAUAUGUGUAAGUAACUGUGCACAGCUUGACGGUACCUAAUCAGAAAGCCACGGCUAACUACGUG
This 497-nucleotide ribosomal RNA is filed under the name uncultured bacterium. RNAcentral's name for it is "partial 16S ribosomal RNA". It matches the Rfam family "Bacterial small subunit ribosomal RNA", at positions 28 to 507 of the family's 1533-position model. The record is from RNAcentral.